UCUUUGUGCUCUAGAAUUCAUUCUUUUCAUGUCAAAGAAAAGCUUCUUCCGUUGAGCAGGUAAUGCUUUGAGAAGGGUCCAAUAUUUUCUCCUCGGACAGCACCCAAUAUUUUCUCAAACCGAGCAACUCUCCCCAUUAAAGUCGGUCCAAGUCCUUGGUCUACAAAAAUUGCUCCCUAUAAAUAUAACUUUCCUAAACCAAAACACUUAAAUCCAAUCUCCAUCAAUGGCUCCUCCUCCUCCUCCUCUUCCUCCUUAUUCCCCAUCAUCUCUCCACCCCCUCCUCGGCCCGCCAGAAUGCCACAACCCGCCGCCUCCUCAGGCCCCUCCUGCUCCGGCCUCCUCCUUCAUCGACCUGAUGGUUGCCAACUUCGACGACGACUUGCCUCAGAAGAGCUACACAGAGAACAACUCGGCCACGUUCCUGUCCACAGGCAAUCCGUGCCUCGACUUCUUCUUCCACGUGGUCCCCGACACCCCACCCGAGUCCCUGACCCAGAGGCUCGAGUCAGCCUGGACCCACGACCCGCUUACCGCCCUCAAGCUCGUGUGCAACCUCCGGGGCGUGCGUGGGACUGGGAAGUCGGACAAGGAAGGGUUCCACGCUGCGGCGAGGUGGCUAUUCAAGAACCACCCCCGGACCCUGGCCUCCAACGUUGGGGCCUUCGCGGAGUUCGGGUACUUCAAGGACUUGCUUGAGAUCCUCUACCGCCUCCUCGAGGGCCCUGACAUCAGGCCCAGGCAGAAGAGCGAGUGGCAACGGCGGAAAGGCUCCAGAAGGAGGCGGAAAUUUUUGGAAUGGUUCAGCUGCCCCGAUGAAUCAAGAACGGAGGGGAGAAAUAGCUCGAGGACAGCCGGAGCUUCGGUGCCCAAGGAAGUGAGGAUUGCAAACAAGGCGGCGCGUGACCAGGAGCAGAAGCAGAAGGCAAGCGAGCUGAGGAACAUGAAGAGGAUCGCUAUGGCCAGGAAGCUCCUGGAGCGGUACAAGCGCGAUGGGGACUUCCGGUUCCUCCAUGGCGCGGUGUCUACGCACUUCGCCCAUUGCCUGACGGCCGACCUGGAGUUCCUGAAAUCUGGGGAGAUCAAUAAGAUUAGCCUCGCCGCCAAGUGGUGCCCGUCGGUCGACUCGUCCUUUGACCUCGUGACGCUGCUCUGUGAGAGCAUCGCGAAGCGGGUCUUCCCACGGGACCGGUUUCCCGAGUUUGAGGGCCUUGAGGAGGCGCACUAUGCGUACAGGGUGCGGGACCGGCUCAGGAAGGACACCCUUGUGCCACUCCGGAGGGUCCUGAAGUUGCCGGAGGUAUACAUGAGCGCAAGGCGUUGGGGCGACAUCCCCUACAACCGGGUCGCCUCCGUGGCCAUGAAACUUUACAAGGGCACGUUCCGUAAGCACGACCGAAAGCGGUACCAGAGCUACCUGGCAGACGUGAAGUCUGGAAAGGCCACGAUCGCUGCCGGCGCACUGCUCCCCCACCAGAUUGUAGCCUCACUUCGUGACUCCGACGGGUGUGAGGUCGCAGAGCUCCAGUGGAAGCGCAUGGUGGAGGAUCUAUCCAAGGCGGGGAAGUUGGAGAACUGCAUCGCUGUGUGCGACGUCUCGGGGAGCAUGAGCGGUACACCGAUGGAGGUGUCGGUGGCGCUCGGGCUGUUGGUGUCGGAGCUUAGCCGGGAGCCAUGGAAGGGCAAGGUGAUCACAUUCAGCGAGUUUCCUCAGCUUCACGCGAUACAAGGAGAGGGCUUGCGCUCCAAGACCGAAUUCAUCGAAACGAUGGAGUGGGGUGCCAACACCGACUUCCAGGCUGUAUUCGACAGGAUUCUAGAGGUGGCCACCGAGGGGAAGCUGAGGGCUGAGGAGAUGGUCCGGAAGGUGCUCGUGUUCAGCGACAUGGAGUUCGACCAGGCUUCCGACCAGGCUUCCGCGAACCCUUGGGAGACGGACUACGAGGCGAUCACGAGGAAGUUCGGGGAGCGUGGGUACGGGGCGGUGGUGCCGCAGAUCGUGUUCUGGAACCUGAGGGACUCGAGGUCGACGCCGGUGGUGGCGAAGCAGGGGGGGGUGGCGCUGGUGAGCGGGUUCUCGAAGAACCUGAUGAAGAUGUUCCUGGGCAGCGUGGGGGACAUAAGCCCCGUGGCCGUCAUGGAGGCUGCCAUCUCGGGCGACGAGUACAGGGACCUUGUCGUCGUCGAUUGAUCGAUUGAUUCAGUUCUUUCCCUUGUUUAGGAAUCUUAGCAAAAACGAAAAAACAAAAAGAAAAAAAAAAAAAAAGAAAAGGUUCUGUUUUCUGUUAAUCUUGUCAGCGAAUACUUAGCUGCUUCCAUGUUGUCAACUUAUAUUCUUUCUUGGCUAGAUGAUGAGAUCACGAGCAGUGGAA
RNA transcript from Eucalyptus grandis, 2372 nucleotides. RefSeq lists it as uncharacterized. The record is from RefSeq and is a predicted model, not a curated record. NCBI's taxonomy places the organism in Eukaryota, Viridiplantae, Streptophyta, Magnoliopsida, Myrtales, Myrtaceae. The transcript is spliced from 2 exons.